GUGCCGUGCGGUGAGCAUAGAGCGAACUAUUCUUUCGCCUUUUACUAAAGAAUACCGUGUGCUCGCCGUCCAGACUGGCAUACGCUUAUUUUUGGAGCUUUAAUUCUUUCAUUGGAAU
Non-coding RNA from Gossypium raimondii (Peruvian cotton), 118 nucleotides. NCBI's taxonomy places the organism in Eukaryota, Viridiplantae, Streptophyta, Magnoliopsida, Malvales, Malvaceae. The record is from Rfam.